Molecule: long non-coding RNA, 545 nt
Filed under: Salmo salar (Atlantic salmon)
Lineage: Eukaryota; Metazoa; Chordata; Actinopteri; Salmoniformes; Salmonidae
Description: lncRNA (ENSSSAG00000122262.1)
Source: RNAcentral
GUCAAUGUGGAGGCUAUAUACAGGGUGUUACGGUACAGAGUCAAUGUGGAGGCUAUAUACAGGGUGUUACAGUACAGAGUCAAUGUGGAGGCUAUAUACAGGGUGUACUGGUACAGAGUCAAUGUGGAGGCUAUAUACAGGGGGUACUGGUACAGAGUCAAUGUGGAGGCUAUAUACAGGGGGUACCGGUACAGAGUCAAUGUGGAGACUAUAUACAGGGGGUACCGGUACAGAGUCAAUGUGGAGGCUAUAUACAGGGUAUUACGGUACAGAGUCAAUGUGGAGGCUAUAUACAGGGGGUACCGGUACAGAGUCAAUGUGGAGGCUAUAUACAGGGUGUUACGGUACAGAGUCAAUGUGGAGGCUAUAUACAGGGGGUACUGGUACAGAGUCAAUGUGGAGGCUAUAUACAGGGGGUACCGGUACAGAGUCAAUGUGGAGGCUAUAUACAGGGGGUACCGGUACAGAGUCAAUGUGGAGACUAUAUACAGGGGGUACCGGUACAGAGUCAAUGUGGAGGCUAUAUACAGGGUAUUACGGUACAG